RNAcentral lists this small RNA (40 nucleotides) under Arabidopsis thaliana (thale cress). RNAcentral's name for it is "ATSL071480". The record is from RNAcentral. Lineage: Eukaryota; Viridiplantae; Streptophyta; Magnoliopsida; Brassicales; Brassicaceae.
CAGGUUCGAAUCCUGCCGUUCACGUUUUUCAUUUUUUUUU